CCUCGGAUUUGCAUGGCUCCGCCCCCGGAACGGGACUCUCCCCAGGGGCCCCGCCCCUCGUGGUGGCCGCUCCGCCCCCUUCCAGAUCAGCCCGUUUGGUCAGGUUUACAUUUACUUAGCAUUUCUCAGCUUCUUUUAGGCUUUUAGUACCGUUUUUACACCACGGGAUGAGCAAAUAGGUUUAAAACACCGCGUAACUCAGGGAAAGAACAGAGUCUUGGGGCAGCUAUGCGGUACGAACUGAGUAAUUUCCCUGAUCCUGGGAGGAAACARGCAUACCUGGCGCGGCUUCACUUCGCGGUGCUAAUCUGCUCUGCCUCAUAUCCUCUGCUCUCAGCGCAGCCGGCACUUUAGGAUCGGCCUUGUAGCGCGAUGUGAGCGCCUCUCUGUUUCUUAAUCUCUUUUAGCUCGAGCAUCCCAUGAUUUUUAAUCAGUUCAAUCUGCAGGUUAAGGUACUAACUGCUGCUUUUAAAAGAAAUACCUCACAGAGGCUCCUAGCCUGUCAGAGAAAGGGCGGGCAGGCAGAUGAGAAGAGACCGGGGGAACCGCAGGGCUGCGGCGCCGCCUCACCACAGCGCCGCGACCCCUCUUCCCGCCGAUUUCCCAACGGUCGCCGGGGGGGGGACAGGGGGCGCUCGCGCCUUCCCCCCACACUGCGCCUGCGCGCCCCCUCUUCCCGCCAAUUGCGGGGGGGGGCGCCGCGGGCGCCUGCGCGUGUCGCCUCGCGCCCUCCCCUCCCACUGCGCCUGCGCGCCGCCUUUCCCGCUCCCUCCCUCACCGCUCCCUAGCGUCGGUCCACAGGAUGGCGCAUGCGCGCGGGGAAAGGCCGUAGUGCGCACGCGCUCCUCUGUCUCCCAGCAUGCACCGGGGCGGCGACCUAUUUAAGCGCUCAGGCGGGGCUGCUUCGGCCAUUUCCUUGCUGUUGCUGUAUGGGGAGGGUGAGUGUGUCCGGGCGUUGCCUGCUCCUGGGGCUGUUCGGGGGUCGCUCUGCGCGGAACGAGCCGUUCCUAGCGGCCGUUUCCUUCUCUCCUGAGGUUUUCAGACGUUUAAGGGGAAGCUCUGCCAGAGUCCUUGUGUUCUCAGCCGUUGUGCUCAGAGUCUCUGGGAGUGGCCUGGGUGUCUCCCUCUGCAGGUUGAUGCCUCCGGAGCAGGCGGUGCUGCCCCAGCCCCGUCGCCGGCAGCAUGAGGAAAUGGAUGAAAGCUGUUGGCUGGGGGUGUCCGGCAAAGCUCCGAGCAGCCUGGAGCGGCUGCGCUGGAUGGUGUUUGACGGAGGCGACUCCCCAGUUCAAGCUGCUUCCUGCAGUUUUGGUGAUGAGGUGGCCGGAGGGGCCGGGCAGCAGCAGCUGGGCUGAGUCCAGGGGGAAACGCGGAUGCACGUCCUGGCGCUGGAGCCCCCCCAGAGCUCGUCCAGGCCCUGCUCACCUUCACCAUUCUCAGGGUCGCUGAGCUGCUGGAGAAGAGCUGCCUCCCUUGCGCGUGCCCUCUCUUUGUGUGAAUAAAAACACUUUCUUUAGUACUCUGGUCUUGUCU
This 1530-nucleotide long non-coding RNA is filed under the name Apteryx haastii (Great spotted kiwi). Its description in RNAcentral is "lncRNA (ENSAHAG00000013914.1)". Lineage: Eukaryota; Metazoa; Chordata; Aves; Apterygiformes; Apterygidae. The record is from RNAcentral.